AGAGUUUGAUCCUGGCUCAGAUUGAACGCUGGCGGCGUGCCUAACACAUGCAAGUCGAGCGGUAACAGGUGUAGCAAUACAUGCUGACGAGCGGCGAACGGGUGAGUAAUGCUUUGGAAUCUUCCCAGUAGUGGGGAAUAACCAGUCGAAAGAUUGGCUAAUACCGCAUACGUCUGUAAAGGGAAAGCGGGGGCUCGUAAGACCUCGCGCUAUUGGAUGAGCCAAAGUCGGAUUAGCUAGUUGGUGGGGUAAUGGCCUACCAAGGCGACAAUCCGUAGCUGGUCUGAGAGGACGACCAGCCACACCGGAACUGAGACACGGUCCGGACUCCUACGGGAGGCAGCAGUGGGGAAUAUUGGACAAUGGGGGAAACCCUGAUCCAGCGACGCCGCGUGUGUGAAGAAGGCCUGCGGGUUGUAAAGCACUUUUAGUGGGGACAAAAAGCUACGGACUAAUACUCUGUGGUCUUGAUUUAACCCAAAGAAAAAGCACCGGCUAACUCUGUGCCAGCAGCCGCGGUAAUACAGAGGGUGCGAGCGUUAAUCGGAAUUACUGGGCGUAAAGCGCGCGUAGACGGUUUUGUAAGUCAGAUGUGAAAUCCCUGGGCUCAACCUGGGAACUGCAUUUGAUACUGCAUGGCUAGAGUAUCGAAGAGGGAAGUGGAAUUUCCGGUGUAGCGGUGAAAUGCGUAGAUAUCGGAAGGAACACCAGUGGCGAAAGCGACUUCCUGGUCGAAUACUGACGUUCAUGUGCGAAAGCGUGGGGAGCAAACAGGAUUAGAUACCCUAGUAGUCC
Molecule: ribosomal RNA, 795 nt
Filed under: uncultured bacterium
Lineage: Bacteria
Description: bacterial SSU rRNA
Rfam family: Bacterial small subunit ribosomal RNA
Source: RNAcentral